CGGCUCUUUCUAGAUGCCAUGAAGAGAAAGAUUGCCAAGGGAGCUCCUGAGUGUAGACCACCCUUCCUCAACUCUGCCUGAAGCCACUUUCAUGAUCUCCAUGCCCCACAGGGAACUGGGAGGAAGCAGAUUUUGAGGAGAGAGAAGGCUACAGGAGGCCCUGAGCAGUAGAUGAAGAAGCUCUCAGCCUCAAGUCUGAACAAGAGAUGGAACCCAAUGGCGGCAGCGGCGGUGGCGGCAGCUUGACAGCCAGGGCUCACACCUGCUGGUGGUGAUGCUCUACCACAGUGGUGCUGAGGAGAUGAAGCGGCUUCCUUACAGAGGCUUCCAGUCAAAAGCAAGCACUGCACCAUGGAUGCCAGAGUCCUCCAGAAGAUGAACCCCAGUGAGCCAAGGACACAAAGGACUUCAGGGCAGCGGAUCCUCUUGAGCACUGACACCUCCCCCCCCCACACAGCCGUCACUGGUGGCGUCAUCCUGGCUCUCCUCACAUCAGCUGCUCAAUGACCCUCUGCACAGUGGCAUGCCCC
RNAcentral lists this long non-coding RNA (530 nucleotides) under Cricetulus griseus (Chinese hamster). RNAcentral describes it as "lncRNA (ENSCGRG00015037028.1)". The record is from RNAcentral. Lineage: Eukaryota; Metazoa; Chordata; Mammalia; Rodentia; Cricetidae.